AUGGCGUCCAUCGUCGUGAUCGGGCUGGUGCUCCUCCUCGACAUCCUCGCCUUCGUCCUCGCCAUCGGCGCCGAGCGCCGCCGGAGCACGGCGCAACUCGGCGAGGCCGAGCCUGGCGGCAGGCGGUACUGCAUGUACGACACGGACGCGUCCACCUGGUACGGCGUCGGCGCGCUCGCCCUGCUGCUGGUCGGGCAGGCCGUGGCCAUGGCCGCCAGCCGCUGCUUCUGCUGCGGCCGCGCGCUCUCCCCCGGCCGCUGGCGCUUCUUCUCCGGCCUCUUCUUCGUCCUCUGCUGGCUGACGUUCGUGAUCGCGGAGGUGUGCCUGCUGGCGGGGUCGGUGCGGAACGCGUACCACACCAAGUACGUGAGCGGCUACUACGACGGAGGGGCGCUCCCCUGCGCGAUGCUGCGCAGGGGCGUCUUCGCCGCCGGCGCCGCCUUCGCCUUCCUCACCACGCUCUUCGUCAUGCUCCACUACGUCUUCUACUCCAAGGCCCGCGCCGCGCCCCCGCCCAUCAUCAACGGCGGCGGCAUCGGCAUGACCCGCAUCUGA
This 555-nucleotide ribosomal RNA is filed under the name Triticum aestivum (bread wheat). RNAcentral describes it as "partial small subunit ribosomal RNA". The record is from RNAcentral. Lineage: Eukaryota; Viridiplantae; Streptophyta; Magnoliopsida; Poales; Poaceae.